AAAGUGUCGACUAAGCAGGUGCCGAGAAAAAAACGAAACGACUCCUCCAGGCUCCAUAGUCCAUACCUCACCGCCUUACGCCACGCUACAACCUUCCCUUCUCUCUUCCGCCGCCAUAAUAGUGUUAGUAUUAGCAGAAGAAUAAUGUUCAAGAAGGCAGUGGACGCCAAGUCUCACCAGCGACUUUCUGGCGCCGACCGGAAGAAGCUCCGUCGCACUAUCAGAGACCGUUUCUCGAAUGCCUCUGAUGCCCUUCUCGACCUUUUACUUCCUCCCAAAGCGGAGUUAGCUGUUUCAAAAUAUCCAAAUCGGGUACUCGUUUAUGGCUUGGAGGGCGAUUGUCCCAUGUUCUUUGACGUAGAUGGGCGAGGUCGUGAUAUUUUCCCUACAGUUUAUGCUCUGUGGAGAGUCCCAGAACUUUUGCCUGCUUUUGUGCUGAAAGGGGGUGAAGUUUCUCGUUUUAUGCUUGGAGGGGCAGAUUUAAUGUUCCCUGGUAUCAGUAUACCUUCUGAAGGGUUUCCCUCAUUUUCUUCUGGGGAGCCAUGGGCAGUGAAGGUUCCUGGAAAUCCUGCUGCAAUAGCUGUGGGGACAACUACCAUGAGUAGUUCAGAAGCUUUAAAAGCUGGUCUACGUGGAAAGGCCUUAAAAAUAUUGCAUUACUAUCGAGACACCCUUUGGGAAUCUGCAGAAAAUUGUCAUGUACCAAAUGCUGGUUUUCUAGAAGACGUCGUGUUUGAAGAUCCUGCUCUUUUGUUUAGUAGUAGGGCAUCUGAUUCAAGUGAAGUUGAUCCUUCAGUUGACCCAGGAAAUGUGACUAGCAAUGAGGACAUGGGAGAAGUGAUUGACUCUAAUGCAGCUUCAUUAGGUGGUGGUCAGCCUUCUACUACACAGAGUGAUGGAGCUGAUGAAAUUUCUGUGCAGCUUACUAAUGAUCUAAGCGAGUUGAAGGUUGCAGAAACAUUCGUAGAUGAAUCAAAUACCGAGGGACAACAUUCCUUGUGUGUUGAAGAGGUAGAUGCACUCUUGGACAAGUGUCUUCUACAAGCAUUACAUACGACAAUUAAGGAGAAAGACCUGCCAAUCCCUGGAAGUACAUUUUGGUCAAGUCAUGUGCUACCUUGCAGGCCUCCAGGCAUAACACUCGACAUAAAGAAGUCAUCUCACAAGAAAUUGUCCAAGUGGCUACAGGCUAAAGCCUCUUGUGGAUUGAUCUCAGUGAAAGAAGAUAAACAUAAGAAAGAGGUGAUUCUGUUCUCUGUUAAUCGAAAUCAUCCAUACUAUUUGUCCUACAAGCCAGAAAAGAAAAAAGUGGACAAGACCGGGCCUUCAACAAAUAAUGUUUCUUAUGAAGAACGGAUACAGAAGACACUGGAAGUUUCUGAAAUUUAUAAACCAAGUGUGCAUGUAAAUCCUAUUUUUGCUUCUGUUGGUGCUGAAACUAGUAGACUUUACACUGCAUCUGAGGCCUCUGAAAUAGUGUUCCAGUACGUUGAGAAAGAAAAUCUUGUGAAGCCAUCAAAUAAGUCCACUGUGACGUUAGAUGCAACUCUAUGUGAUGCUUUAUUUAAGGGAGCCAUAAAAAAAGGAUCAACUUAUCCAUCUGAAAUUCAUAAGAAGGAUGUGGGGCAAACUUUUAUUGGUAGGAUGCAAGCACAUCAUUGUGUGACUAGAGGAAACGAUACAGUUAUUCGCAAAGGAGCCUUGAAGCCAAUCCAGAUAAUGACAGAACGGAGGCAAGGAAACAAGAAAGUGACUAAACUUUCUGGAAUGGAGUCAUUUCUGUUGGAUGCAGAGGCUUUGGCUUCAGAGUUGCAGAAGAAGUGUGCCUGUAGCACUACUGUGGCAGAACUUCCAGGUAAGAAAGGUGAAGAAGUUUUGGUUCAAGGAGGUGUUAUUGAUGAUCUUGCAAGAUAUCUUGUUGAACAGUAUGGUGUCCCAAAAAGAUAUAUCGAAGUGCUUGAUAAAACAAAGAGAGGUUGAGGAUCACGCUCCUAUCAUAUGUGGCUAGUAGGGUUCUUAUCGGCAAAGUAUUUGGUACCAAUGACGCCCAAGAUGAAAAGAACCUGUAGUGGUGCACAAAGGCGCUCAAAACAACAGUUAUUAGAUGAGUCCAACGGGUUGGAGGAGGACACCAGGGCAAUUAUUUCGGGUAACACUACUACAACAUCAAACACUAGAGCUUCAACCCGGCAACAUCGGGGUACUCCUAGUCUGAUGAGGGAGACUGCUAUAGAAUGACCACCACCAGUGAAUGCAGCAGGGGUUGGCAUUUCAGAACCUGUCCGAGGUGGCUCAAUUAAGACAGAAAACCUCGAAUUUCAUGAUGCUGUGCAGUGGUCCAUCAAAGGGGCUGCACAAUACUACAAAGAUGGGCUUGUAAAGACAAUGAAUGGAGGUUUGAAACAAAGCAUUAUUGAGGAAGGUUGAAUUCCCGCAUCCGACCUUCCCGAAUCUCCUGAGAUUGAAGCGAGGUUCAAGGCAUAUAAGUUAGAUUGGAUAACGGAGGGGCCAGGUGCAUACUUUACGACAAUGGUUCGUGAGUUCUAUGCAUACUAAGCGGCGACACUGGAUAACAAGGGUAAGCCACCAAAAGGGGAGUUGGUGUCAUGACAUAAACUGGGGCUUAGCCGUGACAUGCAAUUAGAAUCCCGAAGGACUCCAACCAAGCCUCUUAGCAUAUUAUUCAUGAGCAUACA
Solanum dulcamara is the source of this 2696-nucleotide RNA transcript. RefSeq lists it as uncharacterized. NCBI's taxonomy places the organism in Eukaryota, Viridiplantae, Streptophyta, Magnoliopsida, Solanales, Solanaceae. The transcript has 10 exons. The record is from RefSeq and is a predicted model, not a curated record.